This 85-nucleotide transfer RNA is filed under the name Edaphobacter sp. Its description in RNAcentral is "tRNA-Leu". It matches the Rfam family "tRNA". Rfam says of the family: Transfer RNA (tRNA) molecules are approximately 80 nucleotides in length. Their secondary structure includes four short double-helical elements and three loops (D, anti-codon, and T loops). Further hydrogen bonds mediate the characteristic L-shaped molecular structure. tRNAs have two regions of fundamental functional importance: the anti-codon, which is responsible for specific mRNA codon recognition, and the 3' end, to which the tRNAs corresponding amino acid is attached (by aminoacyl-tRNA synthetases). tRNAs cope with the degeneracy of the genetic code in two manners: having more than one tRNA (with a specific anti-codon) for a particular amino acid; and 'wobble' base-pairing, i.e. permitting non-standard base-pairing at the 3rd anti-codon position. The record is from RNAcentral. Lineage: Bacteria; Pseudomonadati; Acidobacteriota; Terriglobia; Terriglobales; Acidobacteriaceae. RNAcentral also lists the same sequence under 3 other names.
GCGAAAGUGGCGAAAUUGGCAGACGCACCAGACUUAGGAUCUGGCGGAGAAAUCCGUGGGGGUUCAAGUCCCCCCUUUCGCACCA